Molecule: ribosomal RNA, 270 nt
Filed under: uncultured bacterium
Lineage: Bacteria
Description: partial 16S ribosomal RNA
Rfam family: Bacterial small subunit ribosomal RNA
Source: RNAcentral
GAUGAACGCUAGCGGCAGGCCUAAUACAUGCAAGUCGAGGGGCAGCACGGUAGCAAUACUGGUGGCGACCGGCGCACGGGUGCGUAACACGUAUACAAUCUGCCUUUAACAGGGGGAUAGCCUUUCGAAAGAGAGAUUAAUACCCCAUAACACUAAAAGUAGCAUUACUUUGUUAAAGACUCCGGCGGUUAGAGAUGAGUAUGCGUCUGAUUAGCUAGUUGGUGAGGUAACGGCUCACCAAGGCGACGAUCAGUAGGGGAUCUGAGAGGA